AAAGAUUAAGCCAUGCAUGUCUAAGUAUAAACAAAUACAUACUGUGAAACUGCGAAUGGCUCAUUAAAUCAGUUAUAGUUUAUUUGAUGGUACCUUACUACAUGGAUAACUGUGGUAAUUCUAGAGCUAAUACAUGCUGAAAAGCCCCGACUUCUGGAAGGGGUGUAUUUAUUAGAUAAAAAACCAACGUAGGCAACUGCUCCCUUGGUGAUUCAUAAUAACUUCUCGAAUCGUAUGACCUUGUGUCGACGAUGCUUCAUUCAAAUAUCUGCCCUAUCAACUUUUGAUGGUAGGAUAGAGGCCUACCAUGGUUU
Molecule: ribosomal RNA, 314 nt
Filed under: uncultured fungus
Lineage: Eukaryota; Fungi
Description: SSU rRNA
Rfam family: Eukaryotic small subunit ribosomal RNA
Source: RNAcentral